CUUAAACAUGCAAGUCGAACGGAAAGGCCCUGCUUUUGUGGGGUGCUCGAGUGGCGAACGGGUGAGUAACACGUGAGUAACCUGCCCUUGACUUUGGGAUAACUUCAGGAAACUGGGGCUAAUACCGGAUAGGAGCUCCUGCUGCAUGGUGGGGGUUGGAAAGUUUCGGCGGUUGGGGAUGGACUCGCGGCUUAUCAGCUUGUUGGUGGGGUAGUGGCUUACCAAGGCUUUGACGGGUAGCCGGCCUGAGAGGGUGACCGGCCACAUUGGGACUGAGAUACGGCCCAGACUCCUACGGGAGGCAGCAGUGGGGAAUAUUGCACAAUGGGCGGAAGCCUGAUGCAGCAACGCCGCGUGCGGGAUGACGGCCUUCGGGUUGUAAACCGCUUUCGCCUGUGACGAAGCGUGAGUGACGGUAAUGGGUAAAGAAGCACCGGCUAACUACGUGCCAGCAGCCGCGGUGAUACGUAGGGUGCGAGCGUUGUCCGGAUUUAUUGGGCGUAAAGGGCUCGUAGGUGGUUGAUCGCGUCGGAAGUGUAAUCUUGGGGCUUAACCCUGAGCGUGCUUUCGAUACGGGUUGACUUGAGGAAGGUAGGGGAGAAUGGAAUUCCUGGUGGAGCGGUGGAAUGCGCAGAUAUCAGGAGGAACACCAGUGGCGAAGGCGGUUCUCUGGGCCUUUCCUGACGCUGAGGAGCGAAAGCGUGGGGAGCGAACAGGCUUAGAUACCCUGGUAGUCCACGCUGUAAACGAUGGGUACUAGGUGUGGGGUCCAUUCCACGGGUUCCGUGCCGUAGCUAACGCUUUAAGUACCCCGCCUGGGGAGUACGGCCGCAAGGCUAAAACUCAAAGGAAUUGACGGGGCCCCGCACAAGCGGCGGAGCAUGCGGAUUAAUUCGAUGCAACGCGUAGAACCUUACCUGGGUUUGACAUGGAUCGGGAGUGCUCAGAGAUGGGUGUGCCUCUUUUGGGGUCGGUUCACAGGUGGUGCAUGGCUGUCGUCAGCUCGUGUCGUGAGAUGUUGGGUUAAGUCCCGCAACGAGCGCAACCCUUGUUCACUGUUGCCAGCACGUUAUGGUGGGGACUCAGUGGAGACCGCCGGGGUCAACUCGGAGGAAGGUGGGGAUGACGUCAAGUCAUCAUGCCCCUUAUGUCCAGGGCUUCACGCAUGCUACAAUGGCUGGUACAGAGAGUGGCGAGCCUGUGAGGGUGAGCGAAUCUCGGAAAGCCGGUCUCAGUUCGGAUUGGGGUCUGCAACUCGACCUCAUGAAGUCGGAGUCGCUAGUAAUCGCAGAUCAGCAACGCUGCGGUGAAUACGUUCCCGGGGCUUGUACACACCGCCCGUCAAGUCAUGAAAGUUGGUAACACCCGAAGCCGGUGGCCUAACCGUUGUGGGGGAGCCGUCGAAGGUGGGACUGGU
This 1417-nucleotide ribosomal RNA is filed under the name uncultured organism. Its description in RNAcentral is "16S ribosomal RNA". It matches the Rfam family "Bacterial small subunit ribosomal RNA". The record is from RNAcentral.